UCGACAUCAAGAGAUUUCGGAAGCACAAUUUUUGUGGGGAGGGAGGCCGGUAACCGCCCGUUCCGGCGCCCCG
RNAcentral lists this small nuclear RNA (73 nucleotides) under Nipponia nippon (crested ibis). Its description in RNAcentral is "U11 spliceosomal RNA". It matches the Rfam family "U11 spliceosomal RNA", at positions 61 to 134 of the family's 134-position model. The record is from Rfam by way of RNAcentral. Lineage: Eukaryota; Metazoa; Chordata; Aves; Pelecaniformes; Threskiornithidae.